UUACGGCCAUAUUACGUUGAAACAUUGGUUCUCGUACGAUCACCGAAGUUAAGCAACGCUGAGCCUGGUCAGUACCUAGAUGGGUGACCGCUUGAGAAUACCAGGUACUA
RNAcentral lists this ribosomal RNA (110 nucleotides) under Acanthosepion pharaonis. The record is from RNAcentral. Lineage: Eukaryota; Metazoa; Mollusca; Cephalopoda; Sepiida; Sepiidae.